Molecule: non-coding RNA, 605 nt
Organism: Prunus avium (sweet cherry)
Lineage: Eukaryota; Viridiplantae; Streptophyta; Magnoliopsida; Rosales; Rosaceae
Source: RefSeq, a predicted model, not a curated record
UUGAGGUCGAAACGACGACGUGGACUGGUAUCGUCUCCUGGAACCAGAACGAGGGCCUUGUUAUUGUAUCGUCGUCUACAGCGCUGCAUGGUGUUUGAUAUGAGCUCCAUUGUUCGACGGACGGUUUGUUUGUGCUGUGGAAGCGAUUGAAAAUUUCGUUAAUCGCAUAGAAAAAUCCUUGUUAAUUCUAAGGCACAGUGGAUUAGUAGACUGGAUGGUUCCAGUUUUCCAGUGCAUGAAAACCCUAAAUCUUCAAUAGUCUAGUGGAUGGGAAAUUGGUUCUCAAAGUCACUGAUAAUAAAGAGGCCUGGUUUAUUGAUGUUUUCUGGAUAGAAAUCAGCUAGAGGGAAGUAUUUCAUCUUCUAGUCUGUGACAUUAAAAUAUGAAGAGCAUGGGGCUGAUCAGCGCAGGCCAUUGGUUAUUGGAUUGUCAUUUUAUUAUUUGUGGAUGUUUUAUUGGAUCACUGAUCCGAGAAUGAUAUCCCACCAUGAUUAUGUUUAGUUGUUGUAUUCCUUUGAUUGGGUUAAUGGACUGACCUAAAAAAAUGUAAUUCAUAUAUGUAGACAUUUUCACGCAAACGAACUUGAGUGAAGUAGUUCAAAAUA